GGAUUAGAUACCCUGGUAGUCCACGCCGUAAACGAUCAUCACUCGCUGUUGGCGAUAUACUGUCAGCGGCCAAGCGAAAGUAUUAAGUGAUGCACCUGGGGAGUACGCCGGCAACGGUGAAACUCAAAGGAAUUGACGGGGGCCCGCACAAGCGGUGGAGCAUGUGGUUUAAUUCGAUGAUACGCGAGGAACCUUACCAGGGCUUAAAUGUAGUAUGACCGGUCUGGAAACAGACCUUCCCUUCGGGGCAGAUUACAAGGUGCUGCAUGGUUGUCGUCAGCUCGUGCCG
Molecule: ribosomal RNA, 289 nt
Filed under: uncultured bacterium
Lineage: Bacteria
Description: partial 16S ribosomal RNA
Rfam family: Bacterial small subunit ribosomal RNA
Source: RNAcentral